RNAcentral lists this ribosomal RNA (465 nucleotides) under Vreelandella stevensii. Its description in RNAcentral is "partial 16S ribosomal RNA". It matches the Rfam family "Bacterial small subunit ribosomal RNA", at positions 338 to 795 of the family's 1533-position model. Lineage: Bacteria; Pseudomonadati; Pseudomonadota; Gammaproteobacteria; Oceanospirillales; Halomonadaceae. The record is from RNAcentral.
CCUACGGGUGGCAGCAGUGGGGAAUAUUGGACAAUGGGCGAAAGCCUGAUCCAGCCAUGCCGCGUGUGUGAAGAAGGCCUUCGGGUUGUAAAGCACUUUCAGUGGGGAAGAAAGCCUUGGGGCUAAUACCCUCGAGGAAGGACAUCACCCACAGAAGAAGCACCGGCUAACUCCGUGCCAGCAGCCGCGGUAAUAUGGAGGGUGCGAGCGUUAAUCGGAAUUACUGGGCGUAAAGCGCGCGUAGGCGGUCUGAUAAGCCGGUUGUGAAAGCCCCGGGCUCAACCUGGGAACGGCAUCCGGAACUGUCAGGCUAGAGUGCAGGAGAGGAAGGUAGAAUUCCCGGUGUAGCGGUGAAAUGCGUAGAGAUCGGGAGGAAUACCAGUGGCGAAGGCGGUCUUCUGGACUGACACUGACGCUGAGGUGCGAAAGCGUGGGUAGCAAACAGGAUUAGAUACCCGGGUAGUC